RNAcentral lists this transfer RNA (73 nucleotides) under Stentor coeruleus. It matches the Rfam family "tRNA". From Rfam's summary of the family: Transfer RNA (tRNA) molecules are approximately 80 nucleotides in length. Their secondary structure includes four short double-helical elements and three loops (D, anti-codon, and T loops). Lineage: Eukaryota; Ciliophora; Heterotrichea; Heterotrichida; Stentoridae. The record is from Rfam by way of RNAcentral.
UCAGAAGUAGCUCAGUGGAAGAGCAUCGGAGCCUCAUAAGCCGACGACCUAGGUUCAAAUCCUAGCUUCUGAC